Molecule: transfer RNA, 77 nt
Filed under: Coriobacteriia bacterium
Lineage: Bacteria; Bacillati; Actinomycetota; Coriobacteriia
Also listed under: 2 other names
Description: tRNA-Pro
Rfam family: tRNA
About the family: Transfer RNA (tRNA) molecules are approximately 80 nucleotides in length.
Source: RNAcentral
CGGGUGAUGGCGCAGUUUGGUAGCGCACACGUCUGGGGGGCGUGGGGUCGCCGGUUCAAGUCCGGUUCACCCGACCA